This 337-nucleotide unclassified non-coding RNA is filed under the name Filobasidium sp. RNAcentral describes it as "partial contains 5.8S ribosomal RNA, internal transcribed spacer 2, and large subunit ribosomal RNA". The stretch from base 1 to 52 matches the Rfam family "5.8S ribosomal RNA", at positions 103 to 154 of the family's 154-position model. The record is from RNAcentral. RNAcentral also lists the same sequence under 3 other names. Lineage: Eukaryota; Fungi; Basidiomycota; Tremellomycetes; Filobasidiales; Filobasidiaceae.
AACGCACCUUGCGCUCCUUGGUAUUCCGAGGAGCAUGCCUGUUUGAGUGUCAUGAAACCCUCAAACCCAAGUUUUGGAUUUCGAUCCAUGCUUGAGUUUGGAUUUGGAUGUUUGCCGGUGAUGAACCGACUCAUCUUAAAAGUAUUAGCUUGGAUCUGUCUAUAUGACUGGUUUGACUUGGCAUAAUAAGUAUUUUGCUGAGGACAUCUUCGGAUGGCCAGGACCUAGACUACUGUCUGCUAACUAAACCAUCACUUUAAGUGCAUCUUUGGAUGUUACUCAUUGUGUAACUUUGACAUCUGGCCUCAAAUCAAGUAGGACUACCCGCUGAACUUAA